AUUGAACGCUGGCGGCAGGCCUAACACAUGCAAGUCGAACGGUAACAGGAAGAAGCUUGCUUCUUUGCUGACGAGUGGCGGACGGGUGAGUAAUGUCUGGGAAACUGCCUGAUGGAGGGGGAUAACUACUGGAAACGGUAGCUAAUACCGCAUAAUGUCGCAAGACCAAAGAGGGGGACCUUCGGGCCUCUUGCCAUCGGAUGUGCCCAGAUGGGAUUAGCUAGUAGGUGGGGUAACGGCUCACCUAGGCGACGAUCCCUAGCUGGUCUGAGAGGAUGACCAGCCACACUGGAACUGAGACACGGUCCAGACUCCUAUGGGAGGCAGCAGUGGGGAAUAUUGCACAAUGGGCGCAAGCCUGAUGCAGCUAUGCCGCGUGUAUGAAGAAGGCCUUCGGGUUGUAAAGUACUUUCAGCGGGGAGGAAGGGAGUAAAGUUAAUACCUUUGCUCAUUGACGUUACCCGCAGAAGAAGCACCGGCUAACUCCGUG
This 490-nucleotide ribosomal RNA is filed under the name uncultured bacterium. Its description in RNAcentral is "partial 16S ribosomal RNA". It matches the Rfam family "Bacterial small subunit ribosomal RNA", at positions 30 to 507 of the family's 1533-position model. The record is from RNAcentral.